GCGGGGGUAGCCAAGCCAGGUUGAAGGCGCUGGCUUCAGGAGCCAGUCCCGUAGGGGUUCGGGGGUUCAAAUCCCCUCCCCCGCACCA
This 88-nucleotide transfer RNA is filed under the name Hadarchaeum yellowstonense (SeqCode). Its description in RNAcentral is "tRNA-Leu". It matches the Rfam family "tRNA". Rfam says of the family: Transfer RNA (tRNA) molecules are approximately 80 nucleotides in length. Their secondary structure includes four short double-helical elements and three loops (D, anti-codon, and T loops). Lineage: Archaea; Methanobacteriati; Hadarchaeota (SeqCode); Hadarchaeia (SeqCode); Hadarchaeales (SeqCode); Hadarchaeaceae (SeqCode). The record is from RNAcentral. RNAcentral also lists the same sequence under 2 other names.